This 1183-nucleotide long non-coding RNA is filed under the name Cottoperca gobio. RNAcentral describes it as "lncRNA (ENSCGOG00000020053.1)". Lineage: Eukaryota; Metazoa; Chordata; Actinopteri; Perciformes; Bovichtidae. The record is from RNAcentral.
CAAACAAAUGUGUGCAAAGUUAAAAAAAUAUGUUACGUACCCAAACAGAUUUUCUUUCUGUCGCUAUUUUUCUAGCUUGGAAUAAAUGCUCUUAUUUUCUUCGUCUCGUUUUCCUGCUCAUCUCUUUUUCUGUGGAUGUUUGGCUAACCAGCUGAAAAGCCUCGCCAAUGACCAUAACUCAAUUUGCGUAGAUGAAGCAAAGUACGGCGCAGUAAACGGAAGAGGCAAGCGUAAACUGCUUUCAAGAAUACUGACGGAAAAUCUGUGUCCGCGAAUGUGUGUGUCUGUGUGAGUGUAGCCUACGUGAGAGCUGGUCAUGCACACUUUGAUUUGUGGAGAGAAGUUGUUUUGCUUUCACCAGCACUUGAUGAAAUAACAGUGCUUGCAGUAGAACUACUGUGAGUAUUUCCGGAGAUGAUCGGGUGCUUUCAGCUGGAGAGGGCUUCAAUCUGAGCUGUGAGUUCACAUGUCUGAGAGCCCAAUAUGUGGCACAGCUGUGGAGGAACAGCCCGCAAGAGGAGAGUGUGUCUCUUGUCAAUAUUACCACCAUCCUCCUCAAUGUGACCCCGGUCAUGAGUAUCAGCUCUGCUACAGAGGCCGACACUGGUUAUUACUCCUGCAUGACCCAGCCGCCCAACACAAUCAGCCUCGCCAUCUUAAUUCAGAUAGCAGAUAACCUGACAACAUCCACCCUGACCACCUCCAGCCCCCCGCGGUGGGACAGCACCCAGCAGCACAGCAGUGCAGCAGGUCUGCAGGGUCAGCUAUGGUUUUGGAUUCUGCAGGGAAAAACUGCCAUUCUCCUCCUCCUCAGUUUGGCCUCCCUGGCUGUAAAAUACAAGAGGGGAUGAGAAGAGAAGGAUUGAGAUCUCUCUCCCCACAACAAUGCUUUGUUUUUACUCCUUACAUGGUUUGGUUUAUUUUUGUUAUAAAUAAAAUUGGUGGUAAUAUGAGAAUGUUGACCACAAAAACUACAAUUGUUCAUAAUUUAUUUGUAUGUUUGCCGUAAUGGUGUGUGAUCAUACUAUGUAACAAAAUCUAAAUUCCAAUGCAGAUGCAUCAAACAGUGCUUCCUCAAAGUAGAUCCAUCGCUGCUCCCACCCUCUGGAACUCACCACCUCAAACCAUCAGAGACUUAAAACAUCACUGCAGACUCACCUGUUCAACACUGCCUUCAACCACU